ACGAACGCUGGCGGCGUGCUUAACACAUGCAAGUCGUACGAUGACCCGGCUCUUCGGAGCUGGUGAUUAGUGGCGAACGGGUGAGUAACACGUGGGUGACCUGCCCUGCACUCUGGGAUAAGCCCGGGAAACUGGGUCUAAUACUGGAUACGACCAGUGGCCGCAUGGUCUGCUGGUGGAAAGCCCUUCGGGGUGGUGUGGGAUGGGCCCGCGGCCUAUCAGCUUGUUGGUGGGGUGAUGGCCUACCAAGGCGACGACGGGUAGCCGGCCUGAGAGGGUGUCCGGCCACACUGGGACUGAGACACGGCCCAGACUCCUACGGGAGGCAGCAGUGGGGAAUCUUGCACAAUGGGCGAAAGCCUGAUGCAGCGACGCCGCGUGAGGGAUGACGGCCUUCGGGUUGUAAACCUCUUUCGGCAGGGAACAAGCCUGGGGGUUUUCUUCUGGGUGAGGGUACCUGCGGAAGAAGCACCGGCUAACUACGUG
Molecule: ribosomal RNA, 486 nt
Filed under: uncultured bacterium
Lineage: Bacteria
Description: partial 16S ribosomal RNA
Rfam family: Bacterial small subunit ribosomal RNA
Source: RNAcentral